RNAcentral lists this ribosomal RNA (369 nucleotides) under Triticum aestivum (bread wheat). Its description in RNAcentral is "partial small subunit ribosomal RNA". The record is from RNAcentral. Lineage: Eukaryota; Viridiplantae; Streptophyta; Magnoliopsida; Poales; Poaceae.
AUGGAGGACACCGAGGUGUCGUCUCAAAGGACAUCUCCUGGUCGAGGAGGAGUGGACGCGACCGUCCACAAGGCACCCGAGGAUAACACCUCUGGCGCUGUAGAGCGGCGCACGGCGACCCCCAUGACCACCGAGGGUGGGGGGCCUCAACAGUUAGGGCCCUCGCCAAACACCAUCAUGCAGAUCAAUACGGCUCCGGGUUCAGACCAACAUCCCCCUUCAAUAGAGUGGGGAGGAGCAGCAGCUCUGUCGGCGUCCUCUGUCAAUCCGAAGACCGUUGAUACUCUGCAGGAAGAACUGCAACGUGCUUACAUCAUGGAGAAACACCGCACCCUGAUGAUGCGGUUAUGGAGAAGGUUCGUUCCAUGA